GACGAACGCUGGCGGCGUGCUUAACACAUGCAAGUCGAACGGAAAGGCCUUUUCGGAGGUACUCGAGUGGCGAACGGGUGAGUAACACGUGGGUGAUCUGCCCUGCACUCUGGGAUAAGCCUGGGAAACUGGGUCUAAUACCGGAUAGGACCGCACUUUAGUGUGUGUGGUGGAAAGUUUUUUCGGUGUAGGAUGAGCCCGCGGCCUAUCAGCUUGUUGGUGGGGUAAUGGCCUACCGAGGCGGCGACGGGUAGCCGGACUGCGAGGUUGGUCGGCCACAUUGGGACUGAGAUACGGCCCAGACUCCGACGGGAGGCAGCAGUGGGGAAUAUUGCACAAUGGGCGCAAGCCUGAUGCAGCGACGCCGCGUGGGGGAUGACGGCCUUCGGGUUGUAAACUCCUUUCGCCAGGGACGAAGCGUUUUGUGACGGUACCUGGAGAAGAAGCACCGGCUAACUACGUG
Molecule: ribosomal RNA, 463 nt
Filed under: uncultured bacterium
Lineage: Bacteria
Description: partial 16S ribosomal RNA
Rfam family: Bacterial small subunit ribosomal RNA
Source: RNAcentral